Molecule: long non-coding RNA, 298 nt
Organism: Magallana angulata
Lineage: Eukaryota; Metazoa; Mollusca; Bivalvia; Ostreida; Ostreidae
Exons: 3
Source: RefSeq, a predicted model, not a curated record
UUGAACAAAUCUUACGAACAGAUAUGAGCCAAGAAAAUGUUACGAUACAAUACAGCUCAGAUGUGAUCAAUAAAACCGUGGGUACAAAAGUAGCGCAGGUGCAGUUUUUAGCCGUAACGCCUGGUCUUCGACAAAUAUGCCUGAAUGCCACAGAUCGUUUUGACUGGACAGUAAGAUGCCUUUUUGUAACAGUUGAAAGACAAGACCCAUGUGAAUUCAAUCCAUGUCAGAACAAUGGUGUAUGUACAUCUUAUAAAGAUCGAUCUGGUUUUACAUGCUUUUGCAGUAAACAACACGA